RNAcentral lists this unclassified non-coding RNA (269 nucleotides) under uncultured Ascomycota. RNAcentral describes it as "sequence contains ITS2". The record is from RNAcentral. Lineage: Eukaryota; Fungi; Ascomycota.
AACGCACAUUGCGCCCGGUGGUAAUCUGCCGGGCAUGCCUGUUCGAGCGUCAUUUCUACCCUCAGGCCCAGCCGCUUAGGCGGUUCGGGUGCUGGUGUUGGGGCAUGCAGGCCACUGCAGCCUCUAAAUUCAUCGGCGUACUGGCGUACGUUGCCCUUUGCGUAGUGGAUUUUUCUUUUCUCGCAUCGGGCCGUGCCUCGUCCGGCCGCUAACUUUUUUUACUUUUUUAGUUUGACCUCGAAUCAGGUAGGGUUACCCGCUGAACUUAA